RNAcentral lists this long non-coding RNA (1071 nucleotides) under Meriones unguiculatus (Mongolian gerbil). RNAcentral's name for it is "lncRNA (ENSMUGG00000020950.1)". Lineage: Eukaryota; Metazoa; Chordata; Mammalia; Rodentia; Muridae. The record is from RNAcentral.
CAUAUUUAAGGUGGGGACCCCAACCUUAGUCAACACAAUAUAAACAACCCUCCACAAAGCAUACCCAGCAUGCCUUUUCAGUGAUUCUAGAUCAUGUUAAGUUGACAAUCAGUAUUUAAUCAUCACAAGCUCCAGGAGAUCAAACCCUCUUCGAGGGUUUUUAUAUUCUUCUUUCUUCCAUUUCAACUUUGAUGGGAAGGCAAUGGGGGGAUAAAAUAGCUAAAGGUCAGAGGAAAAUGAUGAAGGAGAUCCACAAAGCUAUCACAUUGGCUCUGAGUAAUACGGUAUUAACAAUAAUAACAGCAACAAUAAUAAUAACAAUAAUAGCAGUAAUACAGUUGUCUCCAUCAGGCAAUGUUGCUCACAUGAGCUCUCUCUGCUUCUCUCUGCUUCAGCUGUGUAUUAAUUAGAAAGACUUAUCCUCCAGACCAGGAACUCACUCCGGGAUGUGGGAUGAGCACCAUGCUUAUGGAAGUAGCUACUCAGGGAAUCACAGUCUAAACCUUAUUAAAGCAGAUUCUGCGCUUGUCAUUAAAAUUUAAACCACCAAGUGUUUUGAUGGCAUCUCUUCUCCACCUAGUGCAACCCCUUUUUAAUCCCAGAUACGAUUCUUCUGCACAUGAGGAAUAAAUUGGCUGUUCCCAGAUGACUAGUCAAAUGUCGACAAAUCACAAACCUAUCAUUUCACAAACUGGUGCCUUUUCCUGCUUUUCAUCUACACUGUUAAUAUAUGCCCACCUACUUCUGAGGAAAGUCCUAAGAUAUUUCAUCUAACAGUGACACACAAUGUUGGAUUCAAAGUUCUCUUUUCUCAAAACACACAUGAAGAAGCCAUGUGUGGUGUUUUGCACCUGCAAUCCCAGCACUAGGGAGCAUGAGAGGUCUGAGACCAAAUGCAGAAGUCAUAUAUGGAAGAAGUUCUCACUUCAACUGCUCAUGGAGCUGUGGUUGGAACACAAAUUGACAAAGGAAGAUUCGGGAAAGCUGAAAGUCCUCAGAUAUUUCUAAAUCAGACAAAAAGUUGAAGGAAAUGAAAAUAAAAAGGAAAGAAAAAAAAAGAAUGAAAGAAAG